GUUGUAUGGUUAAGUGACUAAGCGUACACGGUGGAUGCCUUGGCAGUCAGAGGCGAUGAAAGACGUAGUAACUUGCGAUAAGCCCAGAUUAGGUAGUAACAACCAUUUGAGUCUGGGAUUUCUGAAUGGGGAAACCCACUUACAUAAGUAAGUAUCAUUAACUGAAUACAUAGGUUAAUGAGGCGAACCGGGGGAACUGAAACAUCUAAGUACCCCGAGGAAAAGAAAUCAACCGAGAUUCCGAAAGUAGCGGCGAGCGAAAUUGGACUAGCCCUUAAGCUUUACACGCGUUAGACGAACGGUCUGGAAAGUCCGACGAUACAGGGUGAUAGUCCCGUAGUUGACGACGUGUGUUCAGUGAAAUCGAGUAGGGCGGGACACGUGAUAUCCUGUCUGAAUAUGGGGGGACCAUCCUCCAAGGCUAAAUACUACUGACUGACCGAUAGUGAACCAGUACCGUGAGGGAAAGGCGAAAAGAACCCCUGUGAGGGGAGUGAAAUAGAACCUGAAACCGUGUACGUACAAGCAGUAGGAGCAGGCUUGUCCUGUGACUGCGUACCUUUUGUAUAAUGGGUCAGCGACUUAUAUUCAGUGGCAAGGUUAACCAUCUAGGGGAGCCGUAGGGAAACCGAGUCUUAACUGGGCGUUCAGUCUCUGGAUAUAGACCCGAAACCAGGUGAUCUAGCCAUGGGCAGGUUGAAGGUUGAGUAACAUCAACUGGAGGACCGAACCGACUAAUGUUGAAAAAUUAGCGGAUGACUUGUGGCUAGGGGUGAAAGGCCAAUCAAACCUGGAGAUAGCUGGUUCUCCCCGAAAGCUAUUUAGGUAGCGCCUCGGACGAAUACUACUGGGGGUAGAGCACUGUUAAGGCUAGGGGGUCAUCCCGACUUACCAACCCUUUGCAAACUCCGAAUACCAGUAAGUACUAUCCGGGAGACACACGGCGGGUGCUAACGUCCGUCGUGGAGAGGGAAACAACCCAGACCGCCAGCUAAGGUCCCAAAUUACUACUAAGUGGGAAACGAUGUGGGAAGGCUCAGACAGCCAGGAUGUUGGCUUAGAAGCAGCCAUCAUUUAAAGAAAGCGUAAUAGCUCACUGGUCGAGUCGGCCUGCGCGGAAGAUGUAACGGGGCUAAGUAGUAAACCGAAGCUGCGGCAAUGUGCUUUUGCACAUUGGGUAGGGGAGCGUUCUGUAAGCGGUUGAAGGUGUGUGGUAACGCAUGCUGGACGUAUCAGAAGUGCGAAUGCUGACAUGAGUAACGAUAAAGGGGGUGAAAAACCUCCUCGCCGGAAGACCAAGGGUUCCUGUCCAACGUUAAUCGGGGCAGGGUAAGUCGACCCCUAAGGCGAGGCCGAAAGGCGUAGUCGAUGGGAAACGGGUUAAUAUUCCCGUACUUCUUACAAUUGCGAUGGGGGGACGGAGAAGGCUAGGUGGGCCUGGCGACGGUUGUCCAGGUUCAAGUGCGUAGGCUUGAGAGUUAGGUAAAUCCGGCUCUCUCUAAGGCUGAGACACGACGUCGAGCACCUACGGGUGUGAAGUCAUUGAUGCCAUGCUUCCAGGAAAAGCCUCUAAGCUUCAGAUUGUAAGGAAUCGUACCCCAAACCGACACAGGUGGUCGGGUAGAGAAUACCAAGGCGCUUGAGAGAACUCGGGUGAAGGAACUAGGCAAAAUGGUACCGUAACUUCGGGAGAAGGUACGCUCUCGACGGUGAAGUCCCUUGCGGAUGGAGCUAUUGAGAGUCGCAGAUACCAGGUGGCUGCAACUGUUUAUUAAAAACACAGCACUGUGCAAAAUCGUAAGAUGACGUAUACGGUGUGACGCCUGCCCGGUGCCGGAAGGUUAAUUGAUGGGGUUAGACUUCGGUCGAAGCUCUUGAUCGAAGCCCCGGUAAACGGCGGCCGUAACUAUAACGGUCCUAAGGUAGCGAAAUUCCUUGUCGGGUAAGUUCCGACCUGCACGAAUGGCGUAAUGAUGGCCACGCUGUCUCCACCCGAGACUCAGUGAAAUUGAAAUCGCUGUGAAGAUGCAGUGUACCCGCGGCUAGACGGAAAGACCCCGUGAACCUUUACUACAGCUUGGCACUGAACAUUGACCCUACAUGUGUAGGAUAGGUGGGAGGCUUUGAAGCACGUACGCCAGUAUGUGUGGAGCCGUCCUUGAAAUACCACCCUUGUAGUGUUGAUGUUCUAACGUCGACCCCU
This 2203-nucleotide ribosomal RNA is filed under the name Vibrio parahaemolyticus. Its description in RNAcentral is "bacterial LSU rRNA". It matches the Rfam family "Bacterial large subunit ribosomal RNA", at positions 1 to 2236 of the family's 2925-position model. Lineage: Bacteria; Pseudomonadati; Pseudomonadota; Gammaproteobacteria; Vibrionales; Vibrionaceae. The record is from RNAcentral.